GACGAACGCUGGCGGCGUGCUUAACACAUGCAAGUCGAACGGAAAGGCCCUGCUUUUGUGGGGUGCUCGAGUGGCGAACGGGUGAGUAACACGUGAGUAACCUGCCCUUGACUUUGGGAUAACUUCAGGAAACUGGGGCUAAUACCGGAUAGGAGCUCCUGCUGCAUGGUGGGGGUUGGAAAGUUUCGGCGGUUGGGGAUGGACUCGCGGCUUAUCAGCUUGUUGGUGGGGUAGUGGCUUACCAAGGCUUUGACGGGUAGCCGGCCUGGGAGGGUGACCGGCCACAUUGGGACUGAGGUACGGCCCAGACUGCUACGGGAGGCAGCAGUGGGGAAUAUUGCACAAUGGGCGGAAGCCUGAUGCAGCAACGCCGCGUGCGGGAUGACGGCCUUCGGGUUGUAAACCGCUUUCGCCUGUGACGAAGCGUGAGUGACGGUAAUGGGUAAAGAAGCACCGGCUAACUACGUG
RNAcentral lists this ribosomal RNA (468 nucleotides) under uncultured bacterium. Its description in RNAcentral is "partial 16S ribosomal RNA". It matches the Rfam family "Bacterial small subunit ribosomal RNA", at positions 28 to 507 of the family's 1533-position model. The record is from RNAcentral.